Molecule: ribosomal RNA, 877 nt
Filed under: uncultured bacterium
Lineage: Bacteria
Description: bacterial SSU rRNA
Rfam family: Bacterial small subunit ribosomal RNA
Source: RNAcentral
GCGCCAGCUUAAUACAUGCAAGUCGAACGGCAAGUUGAAUAGCAAUAUUUGACCUAGAGUGACGUACGGGUGCGUAACACGUAUGCAACCUACCCAAAACUGGAGGAUAGCUCGGGGAAACUCGAAUUAACCCUCCAUAAGAUCAUAGAGUAGCAUUACUUAGUGAUUAAAACUCCGGUGGUUUUGGAUGGGCAUGCGUCUGAUUAGUUAGUUGGCGGGGUAACGGCCCACCAAGACGAUGAUUAGUAGGGGAACUGAGAGGUUGAUCCCCCACACUGGCACUGAGAUACGGGCCAGACUCCUACGGGAGGCAGCAGUAGGGAAUAUUGGUCAAUGGGUGCAAGCCUGAACCAGCCAUGCCGCGUGCAGGAAGAAGGCGUUAUGCGUUGUAAACUGCUUUUGCCAGGGGAUAAAAUUUCCUUGCGAGGAACAUUGAAGGUACCUGGUGAAUAAGCCACGGCUAACUACGUGCCAGCAGCCGCGGUAAUACGUAGGUGGCAAGCGUUGUCCGGAUUUAUUGGGUUUAAAGGGUGCGUAGGCGGCCCUGUAAGUCAGUGGUGAAAUACUCUAGCUUAACUAGAGGGGUGCCAUUGAUACUGCAGGGCUUGAGUGGAGUCGAAGUAGGCGGAAUUGACGGUGUAGCGGUGAAAUGCUUAGAUAUCGUCAAGAACACCGAUAGUGAAGACAGUUUACUAGGCUUCUACUGACGCUGAGGCACGAAAGUGUGGGGAUCAAACAGGAUUAGAUACCCUGGUAGUCCACACUGUAAACGUUGAUUACUCGCUGUUGGCGAUACACAGCCAGCGGCCAAGCGCAAGCGAUAAGUAAUCCACCUGGGGAGUACGCCGGCAACGGUGAAACUCAAAAGAAUUGACGG